UGGGGAAUCUUCCGCAAUGGGCGCAAGCCUGACGGAGCAACGCCGCGUGGGGGACGAAGGCCUUCGGGUUGUAAACUCCUGUCAGCGGGAAAGAGGGGCCUUCCAGUGAAUAGCUGGGGGGUCUGACGGUACUCGCAGAGGAAGCCACGGCCAACUCCGUGCCAGCAGCCGCGGUAAUACGGAGGUGGCGAGCGUUGUUCGGAAUCACUGGGCGUAAAAGGGCGCGUAGGCGGGGCCGGAAGUCGGGUGUGAAAGCCCCGGGCUCAACCCGGGAACGGCGCUCGAGACUCUGGCUCUUGAGUCCCGGAGAGGCGGGUGGAAUUCCUGGUGUAGCGGUGAAAUGUGUAGAGAUCAGGAGAACACCGGUGGCGCAGGCGGCCCGCUGGACGGAGACUGACGCUGAGGCGCGAAAGCGUGGGAGACAAACGGGAUUAGAUACCCCGGUAGUCCACGCGGUAAACGAGUGGGGCUAGGUGUGGGGGGUAUCGGACCCCUCCGUGCCGAAGCUAACGCAUUAACG
RNAcentral lists this ribosomal RNA (520 nucleotides) under uncultured bacterium. RNAcentral describes it as "bacterial SSU rRNA". It matches the Rfam family "Bacterial small subunit ribosomal RNA", at positions 355 to 864 of the family's 1533-position model. The record is from RNAcentral.